Molecule: long non-coding RNA, 79 nt
Organism: Sinocyclocheilus anshuiensis
Lineage: Eukaryota; Metazoa; Chordata; Actinopteri; Cypriniformes; Cyprinidae
Exons: 4
Source: RefSeq, a predicted model, not a curated record
UUCGGAAAUAUUGUUGGAAAGAUGUACGAAGGAAGAGCUGUCGCAGAUUGCCGAGCAAACACAGCAAAACAAAAACAUG